GACGAACGCUGGCGGCGUGCUUAACACAUGCAAGUCGAGCGGUAAGGCCCUUUCGGGGGUACACGAGCGGCGAACGGGUGAGUAACACGUGGGUGACCUGCCCUCCAGCUCUGGGAUAAGCCUGGGGAAACUGGGUCUAAUACUGGAUAUGACUCCACGGUGCAUGUCGGUGGGGUGGAAAGCCUUGUGCGGCUGAGGAUGGGCCCGCGGCCUAUCAGCUUGUUGGUGGGGUGA
RNAcentral lists this ribosomal RNA (234 nucleotides) under uncultured bacterium. RNAcentral describes it as "partial 16S ribosomal RNA". It matches the Rfam family "Bacterial small subunit ribosomal RNA", at positions 28 to 260 of the family's 1533-position model. The record is from RNAcentral.